Molecule: ribosomal RNA, 467 nt
Filed under: uncultured bacterium
Lineage: Bacteria
Description: partial 16S ribosomal RNA
Rfam family: Bacterial small subunit ribosomal RNA
Source: RNAcentral
GACGAACGCUGGCGGCGUGCUUAACACAUGCAAGUCGAACGGAAAGGCCCUGCUUUUGUGGGGUGCUCGAGUGGCGAACGGGUGAGUAACACGUGAGUAACCUGCCCUUGACUUUGGGAUAACUUCAGGAAACUGGGGCUAAUACCGGAUAGGAGCUCCUGCUGCAUGGUGGGGGUUGGAAAGUUUCGGCGGUUGGGGAUGGACUCGCGGCUUAUCAGCUUGUUGGUGGGGUAGUGGCUUACCAAGGCUUUGACGGGUAGCCGGCCUGAGAGGGUGACCGGCCACAUUGGGACGGAGAUACGGCCCAGACUCCUACGGGAGGCAGCAGUGGGGAAUAUUGCACAAUGGGCGGAAGCCUGAUGCAGCAACGCCGCGUGCGAGAUGACGGCCUUCGGGUUGUAAACCGAUUUCGCCUGUGACGAAGCGUGAGUGACGGUAAUGGGUAAAGAAGCACCGGCUAACUACGU